UACGUAGGGACCAAGCGUUGUUCGGAUUUACUGGGCGUAAAGGGCGCGUAGGCGGCAAUUCAAGUCAGCUGUGAAAUCUCCCGGCUUAACUGGGAGGGUGCGCUAAAGACUGCCUGGCUCGAGUGUGGGAGAGGAAAGCGGAAUUCCUGGUGUAGCGGUGAAAUGCGUAGAUAUCAGGAGGAACACCUGCGGUGUAGACGGCUUUCUGGACCAUAACUGACGCUGAGAUACGAAAGCGUGGGUAGCAAACAGG
This 253-nucleotide ribosomal RNA is filed under the name uncultured bacterium. Its description in RNAcentral is "partial 16S ribosomal RNA". It matches the Rfam family "Bacterial small subunit ribosomal RNA", at positions 524 to 776 of the family's 1533-position model. The record is from RNAcentral.